UACGGAGGAUGCAAGGCGUUAUCCGGAAUGAUUGGGCGUAAAGCGUCCGCAGGUGGCUAUGUAAGUCUGCUGUUAAAGAGUGAGGCUCAACCUCAUAAAAGCAGUGGAAACUACAUGGCUAGAGUGCGUUCGGGGCAGAGGGAAUUCCUGGUGUAGCGGUGAAAUGCGUAGAUAUCAGGAAGAACACCGGUGGCGAAAGCGCUCUGCUAGGCCGCAACUGACACUGAGGGACGAAAGCUAGGGGAGCGAAUGGG
Molecule: ribosomal RNA, 254 nt
Filed under: uncultured bacterium
Lineage: Bacteria
Description: partial 16S ribosomal RNA
Rfam family: Bacterial small subunit ribosomal RNA
Source: RNAcentral